Molecule: ribosomal RNA, 253 nt
Filed under: uncultured bacterium
Lineage: Bacteria
Description: partial 16S ribosomal RNA
Rfam family: Bacterial small subunit ribosomal RNA
Source: RNAcentral
UACAGAGGUGGCAAGCGUUGUUCGGAAUUACUGGGCGUAAAGGGCGCGUAGGCGGCCUUCUAAGUCAGACGUGAAAUCCCUCGGCUCAACCGGGGAACUGCGUCUGAUACUGGGUGGCUUGAAUUCGGGAGAGGGAUGCGGAAUUCCAGGUGUAGCGGUGAAAUGCGUAGAUAUCUGGAGGAACACCGGUGGCGAAGGCGGCAUCCUGGACCGAGAUUGACGCUGAGGCGCGAAAGCCAGGGGAGCAAACGGG